Molecule: unclassified non-coding RNA, 218 nt
Filed under: rhizosphere metagenome
Description: partial ribosomal RNA internal transcribed spacer region
Source: RNAcentral
GUAGGUGAACCUGCGGAAGGAUCAUUACCGAGUUCAUGCCCUCACGGGUAGACCUCCCACCCUUUGUAUACCUUACUUUGUUGCUUUGGCGGGCCGCCUAGCUACCGGCUUCGGCUGGUAAGUGCCCGCCAGAGAACCCCAAACCCAAACCCAUUUAUAGUGUCGUCUGAGAAAAAGUUUAAUAUUUAAAACUUUCAACAACGGAUCUCUUGGCUCUG